This 546-nucleotide ribosomal RNA is filed under the name Lisarda conspersa. Its description in RNAcentral is "partial 16S ribosomal RNA". It matches the Rfam family "Bacterial large subunit ribosomal RNA", at positions 1805 to 2624 of the family's 2925-position model. Lineage: Eukaryota; Metazoa; Arthropoda; Insecta; Hemiptera; Reduviidae. The record is from RNAcentral.
UAUCAAAAACAUGUCCUUUUGUUUAUUGAUUUAAGGUCUGACCUGCCCAAUGAGUAAUUGAAUGGCCGCGGUAUUUUAACUGUGCUAAGGUAGCAUAAUCAUUUGUCUUUUAAUUGAAGGCUGGAAUGAAAGGUUGGACGAGACAUUAGCUUUCUUUAAUUUAAUAGUUUAAUUUAAUUUUUCAGUUAAAAAGCUGAAAUUUUUUCAGGGGACGAGAAGACCCUAUAGAUCUUAAUAAAAUAAGUAUUAAUUAAUUUAGGAGUUUAUAAUAGUUUAAUAUGUAAUUUUAUUUGAUUGGGGCGAUUCUAGAAUUAAUAUAACUUCUGGUUUAUAAAUUCAUUAAUUAGUGUUUAGUUGAUCCAUUUUUAUUGAUUAAAAGAUUAAGUUACCUUAGGGAUAACAGCGUAAUUCUUCCAGAGAGUCCACAUUAAUGGAAGAGUUUGCGACCUCGAUGUUGGAUUAAAAUAAGUGUUUGGUGCAGUAGCUGAAUUACUAGGUCUGUUCGACCUUUAAAUUUUUACAUGAUCUGAGUUCAAACCGGAGAAA